RNAcentral lists this long non-coding RNA (760 nucleotides) under Rattus norvegicus (Norway rat). RNAcentral describes it as "long non-coding RNA NONRATT025224". The record is from RNAcentral. Lineage: Eukaryota; Metazoa; Chordata; Mammalia; Rodentia; Muridae.
GGCGGGAUGGAAAACCAGAGAGCCUGAUAAUCUGUGUGUCUCUGUGAAAAACUGGGAAAGAACUACACUGCAGGGACACAACCUCCAGGGGUUCCUGAGAGGCAGGCUGGGAAGGUUCACAGCUUAUGCAGCUAACUGGCCUGCUCAGAGUAGGAAAGAGCCAUCUUCCUUCGGUAGGAAGCUGUGGAACAUACUUGUUGCUAGAAAGAAUCAAGACUGUGCUGGGGCCUGGUGAGAUGGCUCAGUGGUUAUGGCACUCAGUGCCAAACCUGAUGGCCGGACUAUGUUCUCUGCAACCACCCUGGUGGAAGGCAGAACUGAAUCAGGCCAGCUGGGACUGCCACGCGCAUGUGUGCACACAACGGUAUAACUGUAAAGUCUCUAGAACAGCAGCUGGGAAUGGUGGUGCAUGCCUACAAUCUCAGUGCUUGGGAGGCUGGGCCAGCGUGAGAUCCUGCCUCAGAGUAAACAACCCUCAGAACUCAGCAUUAGCGGGAUGUGGGUGCACUGUGACAAUCAGGGCAGUGGUUUUAGUAGUCUGAGCUGUAGGAAGGCAUCCUUUAUCUUUUAGAAUUCUGAUUUCUUACUGCUCAAGAAAGAGGCUAGGAUUUAAUGAGCUUCCAGGGCUCUUCCCAUUUUAACUUCUGUCACUCCUCUGGAAGACCAUCUAGAGCCGGUCUAAUAACAUAGGUUACUCUGAGACCAAAGUUUGGACAUUGGCCAGAAUACAAAGCUUCAUGUGUUUAUGCCGUCUCCAGCC